Strigops habroptila (Kakapo) is the source of this 1752-nucleotide long non-coding RNA. NCBI's taxonomy places the organism in Eukaryota, Metazoa, Chordata, Aves, Psittaciformes, Psittacidae. The record is from Ensembl.
UUUUCAGUAUGUACAACUUUAUUUUCUAGUUAAUGGAUACAAUUACUUCUAAAACACAGGGUUUUUUAAAGGGUAAAAAACUUAAAAUGUAUCUCCAAAUUUAAUACCUGACAUGCAGGGAAUGCUCAAAAUGCAUAUGAAAAUAUCACUUCUUCAUUCUACUGGAACAAGAUGAGCACAUCUAGUUGCAUUACUCACGGAUGUUAGUACAAAAUUGUGGAGAAUUUUAGCUUCAUUGUAAAACCCAUUAUUUUGGUAUCCUUCAUUUUCAGGGAUACAUAGAAAAUUAAGAAGCACAUACCCCUGAAGCACUGCAAAAGGUGUUUUAAUGCCUUCUGCAUGUCACCUUGCCAUUCUAUGUAACUGUAGGCUUUGUGUGAAAUGCUAUUUUUGUGACAAAUUAAGAACAAAUAAAACCUUGCCUGGAAGAAAUAUGCAGGCCAAGAAUAAGUGCAUUGCAUCAUAUUUUAUCAUAAUUAAUUCCAGCUGAAAUGUUGCAUUUGGAAAGGAAACUGAAAGACUGUUGAAUACCUGGUUUUUAUAAAUACCUGUAUGGACAAGAACUGGAGAAGGUUCAAAAAAUAGCGUAAGCCCACAUCUCUGUCAGGUAAGACUCUACACUCAAACUUCACGGUGCAUAUGUUCUCUUGAGGAAAAAACAUUCCACUGCCAUCUUUUCCGUAGUAUGUUCUGCACAAAAAUGAGCUGAAAGCUCACUUACCAGUCCCAGGCAGAAUAUUUUACUUUUUACAUCAAGUGUACAUCCACUUUAGAAAAGCAAUGCAGCCUCGGAGAAACAUGGCUAGCUGUGUCUCACUGCUCCUGGCCCUGUGCACUGGCAACAGUGCCUUAUGUUCAGGUUAAUUUUAGCUGGGGCCAUGGCCUGACAGGGAAGUUUUGUCAGUAACGUGAGCAGAAGUGCUGGCUUCCUCUGUUACGCUGACAAAUGGAAGAGAGUGAGGACAGUGCUAAAAGCGUGACCUGUCAAAUAAGAACAGCUGAGCCUAAGCUUAGUGUGAAGAGAAAUUAAUGCUUCCAUCUGAGGAGGUGUAGGUCAGCCUGGUGUGCUUCUUAAAGACGUGCCACAUUCUCAGCUUGCGGAGGUGGCUGCAGGCAUGCAAAUGGCAUGUGUCUGUGAAUAUAAAUCUGCAUCUUGCUGGCUUAGACUAGAACAUCAGUAUCACCUCAGUUCAAGCCUGUAUUGCAUUUUAAAUGGGAAACUUCACUGACUAUCAUGAAGGCUGAAAUUUUUGCCUUAGAGAAUACAGAUGUCAGUCUGGUGCUGUUACCUACUGCGUAAGAUACUGUCCAGCUGACAGAGUUCAUAGAAUUUUCUUUUUUCGCUGAUUUCGAUGGAGUUCACUCAGGUCCUUCGGACAGAAUCAUUUAUUUAGUGCUUAGCUUUUCACCUGAGAUUUUCUGCUAACAUUACUUGCAGCAAAAAUCUUUUCUGUGCAGUGUGAUACAGGAAAAUUUUGCUGAUGUAAUCAAAUAAGGAGAUUUAAAUAUGUGAACAUACUGAAACUAAUCAGCCCACAUUGUGAAACUUGAAAGGGAUUUUAUACCUGGAUAUUUCUUGCACUUUUGUUAUUAUCUGUUCCCUCACCAUGCAGGGAUUUCUGCAUUUAAAAAAUCAAUGUAGUGCUAAAAAAAUUUAAGGUAGCAGUCUGUUUUCCAUCAAAAAACAUUUCUUCUUCAUGAAAAGUAAGAACAUUGAUUUCCUACAUGUAUUUUUUAUAUAGUCCUAAAGUA